This 299-nucleotide long non-coding RNA is filed under the name Gossypium raimondii (Peruvian cotton). RNAcentral describes it as "long non-coding RNA (GRAI_LNC003546)". Lineage: Eukaryota; Viridiplantae; Streptophyta; Magnoliopsida; Malvales; Malvaceae. The record is from RNAcentral.
UAGGGUUUGUUGAUGUGUAUUCUGGUGUUGGGCCAUUUGGGCUGAGUUGGUUUGCUGGGCUUAGAAUAUGGUUUAGGUCAGGCUAGAUUAAUGGGCUGUUUGUAUUGGGUCUUGUUAUAUUUUGGGGUUAAAGUCUGUAUUUUUUUAGGUAAAUUGAUCUGGGCCAAUGUAAAUGGAUUGUUUUUGGACUGAAUUUUAUUUAUUAUUUUUUCUUGGUUUUUUUCUGCUUAUUCUGAAUGGGCCCCGGGGCAAAAUUGGGUAUUACAAUGAUGAGAAUGUCAUGCAAACACAAUAAAAAA